CUGUUUGUAAAAUUGAAAUUUCAAAUGUUGGUGGCACCUUCGUAACCCCAAACCCUUGAAUUCAUUACUAUUUCUCAUGUGAUACAGCAAAAAUAGUGAAAAAAUAACCAAAAUUUCUCCAAAAGGAUGGAUCGAACUUUAAGAUUUACCGUCUAACAAAUUAGUAUUAAAGAUCGAUUCAAUAUAUCUAACAAAUUAGGUGAGUCGCAGCUCCAAUCUUCUGUUGGUCGUAACCCUCUUAUUCAUGUCGCUCCAUCCACAACUAGGGUCAUCUUCGAUAAUAUUUCUUCCAACUAUUGACCAAUAGGAGAAAACAAGAUCUUUAGCUCAGAAGAAAAGGUUGAAUUCCUGUCAUUCAUAUGCAGAAGAGAAAAAGAAAAUGUUAAAAUCAAGUUUUGUUUGCUCAACCCUCCCUCUUGGUUUAUUUUUGGAAUGAAAAAGAAAGAAAUUUUUAUGUAUAUCAUUAAAUUAGAAAAGUUAGCAAAGGUUGUUUAAAAUUUGACUGUGUUCUUCCGUGUUUAAUGGGCGUCAUUUUAUUUUAUUUUUGUGCAGAGAGAGAGAGAGAGAGAGAGAGAGAGAGAGAGAGAGAGGGGCAGUAGGUUAAAAAAAGUGGUGAAAACAAGAGAUGAAAGAGUCAACGAAGAAUAGAAUAGAGUAAUAGGGUUUAGUAACCCUAGCCAUCUGCCUGGAACUGUAUAUACACUGAAUUUCAUGUUUCAAAGUUAAAAUCCAAAGCAAAAUUACAACUCAUUAAGGUCGAUUUUAACUAAUGAUGACUACAUUAUUGGAUAAUCUACUGUUUGAGUGGCUCAGAUCACCGCCGCCUGCAAAAAAUAUAUAUAACAUAUAGAUAGAGAGAGAGAGUAGGAGUGGGAGUGGGAGUGGGAGUCUUCACUCUUGAAAGAUGAAAAUUCACCCAUGAAAGACCACCAUUAACCCUAAUUACAGACAAACGCACAGAGGAGAGAGAUCUAGAGAGAAAGAAAGAGAGCGGUGAUGGAAAAAUAGUGGAUUUGAAACAGAAAAAGGAAAUUGGAGAAGCAAAUUAAAUGGAUUUGUGUAUGAUGAGUAAAUGAUUUGAGAGGAACGAAGCCUGGUCCGAAGCCUUCACGUCGUCAAUGUAAACAGCAAACUGUGAUUGCUUCGAGCCAGCCAACGUCCCCCUCAAACAUUCUUCUUCUUCCUCUUCUCUCUGCUUCUCCAGUGGUGGAUAUAUAUAUAUAUACUCUCACAGUCUCACUCACAUAUAUCUAUAUAUAUCUCCAUCCCCCACAAGAAAACUGCAGCCUGGGGGGAGGGGGGAUUUGCUCACACUCUCUGAUACUGAAAACCUAAGGCCGAAGGUGCUGAUUUAUAGGAGGGAGAAUGGGGGGAAUUGGGUGGUUAGGGGUAGAGUUACUUCAGUUUUUAGUCG
RNAcentral lists this long non-coding RNA (1414 nucleotides) under Olea europaea subsp. europaea. The record is from RNAcentral. Lineage: Eukaryota; Viridiplantae; Streptophyta; Magnoliopsida; Lamiales; Oleaceae.